Molecule: ribosomal RNA, 420 nt
Filed under: bacterium
Lineage: Bacteria
Description: partial 16S ribosomal RNA
Rfam family: Bacterial small subunit ribosomal RNA
Source: RNAcentral
UGGGGGAUAUUGCACAAUGGGCGAAAGCCUGAUGCAGCGACGCCGCGUGGGGGAUGAAGGCUUUCGGGUUGUAAACCUCUUUCGCUAUCGAACAAGGCCCGCUUAGGGUGGGUUGAGGGUAGGUGGAGAAGAAGCGCCGGCUAACUACGUGCCAGCAGCCGCGGUAAUACGUAGGGCGCGAGCGUUGUCGGGAAUUAUUGGGCGUAAAGGGCUGGGAGGCGGCUUGUUGCGCCUGCUGUGAAAACGCGGGGCUUAACUUCGCGCGUGCAGUGGGUACGGGCAGGCUUGAGUGUGGUAGGGGUGACUGGAAUUCCAGGUGUAGCGGUGGAAUGCGCAGAUAUCUGGAGGAACACCGAUGGCGAAGGCAGGUCACUGGGCCAUUACUGACGCUGAGGAGCGAAAGCAUGGGUAGCGAACAGG